Molecule: ribosomal RNA, 253 nt
Filed under: uncultured bacterium
Lineage: Bacteria
Description: partial 16S ribosomal RNA
Rfam family: Bacterial small subunit ribosomal RNA
Source: RNAcentral
UACAGAGGUCCCAAGCGUUGUUCGGAUUCACUGGGCGUAAAGGGCGCGCAGGUGGUCGGGUACGUCUGAUGUGAAAUCCCGCAGCUUAACUGCGGAAUGGCAUUGGAUACUGUUUGGCUAGAGGGUUGGAGGGGGGACUGGAAUUCCCGGUGUAGUGGUGAAAUGCGUAGAUAUCGGGAGGAACACCAGUGGCGAAGGCGACUUCCUGGCCUGUUCUUGACGCUGAGGCGCGAAAGCUAGGGGAGCAAACGGG